UUGUGCGUAAUGACUCGUGAAUCUGAUGAAGCCAAAGUGGUCGUUAAAGGAAUGAAAGGAACAGCCAAUUAAGUUUGUGGUUCAACAAUUAAUGACUCGGAUUCCAACUUUUUUAGUUGCAAAAUGAGAUGGAAAUGAUCUGUUAAUUGCAAUUUAGAUUUGUUGAAUCCCUACAUAAUAGACACUUUAGACCAAGCUUAUAUCAUAAAGGUUAUCAUCUGCUUCAGAUAUACAGCAUUCUCACUCAAAUUAGCAAUUUGCGUGUUCACCUAAGUCAGUGCAAAGAAGUACCUAAAAGCAUUCCUCCCACCCACCCAUGCAUAUCCCCAGUGAGGAAUUUGCCUGGUGCAUCUGACUCCAAUUUAUCAUUUACCAGCCAAUGGAUCAUGUCCACCUACUGCCUUAAGAAACUAUUUCAUUGAACCCUUUUUGUGUGUUACAUUUCCACUAAGAUUUUAGUCAAUGCAGAGAAAGGGAAGUGCAAACUAGUCUUUAAUAUGCUCGUUAGUUAGGAUUUACCUCAUAACCAUCCAAAUCAUAUGUGAGUGUGUGACUGCACAUAGAGUGUAUAUGUAAUGUGGAUCAUAAUGUGCAACCACUGCUUGAAUACAGUUCUGCAACUAAUAUGCACAGUGAAGGAGAAGUUUGCAUAAGUUACUCAUACUUCGUGUGGUCUUUUCCACCGAGAGUCCUCUAAGUCUCGAGCUUCUCAUGUCUUGUAACUCUGUUAGGUGACAAUUGAUAAAGAUCAGAGACUUUAUCAGAAUUCAGAUUAGAUGCACUGUCCAUAUAUAAUAGCUACAUAUUCGACAUCAACAAAUUAAGAAAGUUGGUGUCUGAUUUCAUCCACUAAAACCCAAGUGACAUAGAGAGGAUAGGUUUGCAUUAGAAAAACUUAUAUCAGAAGUAGUGUCCACAUGUGUAUGCAAUCCAAACAUUAGGCUUCUAAAUCCAUAUAGAUUCAGUUGAACUUAAUUGGUUAGUUUCGUAGUACAGUUUUGAACUGAUGAUAGACUACUAGCUAUGUAGUGCAAAUUAAAGGGUGACUAGGACUUCUUUCCACCUCUGAUGGCUAGGACAAUGCAAGUUUUCCAAGGAUAAUACUAUACAGAUCCGUAGAGUGUAGGCAUUGUAGAGGCUAUUGGUUUUAAGAACCAAGCAUCAAAUGGACAAAGUUUUCUUGCUCAAGCAAAAAGAGCAUGAGAUGAUUCAAAAACAAAUAUCAAGUGAUUAAAAUCUUUUUGACCCGUAUGCUAGCAACGUUGAAUAUGCAGAAGAAAUCGUAUUGGUUGGAGGGAGAAUGGACAAAAUAAAAUUGUUUGUAAUCUUUUUGACCCAAAGACUUACCAGGGACCAUUGAUCCAUUAUAAGAGGAUUAUUCAUGUCAUUGCUAUUCCAGAAGCCAUUUAACAAUGUUUUAGAACAGAGGAGAAGGGUGGAUUUAGAUCUAUAAUAUAUAGAUUUUGCCCAUAAGGGUACAUCUUAACGAAAAAGUAGACAUAUGGUUCAAGUUUAACCAGUAAAAACAAAACACAAAUCAUGCGUAAGCCAUUAUCUAAACUUUAAUAUUGAUUUCAUUUUUUAGUUCACCCUAGAAAAAGACAAUUGGGACACUUGCUAUUUUUCGGGGUGAUAUAUCAUAGCACUAUGAAGCACAAAGAGGCGCACAUUAAUAUUUUGGAAAUAUUGUGCGUAAAGUUCUGCACUGACCAAAUUUUGAGUUCUGAUAAUGCAUAAAUUUUGCUUACAGUAUGUAAUUUUGUCUAUAUUAUAUAUUUGUGUCUAUGAAAUUAAACUAACAAAAAUGAAUAAGCUCUUCCAUUACCUUUUAUUGUUGGUUGGUCGGUCGGUCGAUGAGUUAUCAUCAUCGUGAUGAUCUUAUACUUGAGGAGUUCCCGUGUACUUUGCGAUUAUCAUGGCACACAACAAUUUCCUGAAACAUUAGUUAUUAAUGAUGAAAUGAACCUGUACAUAUGCACGUAAUCUAAGAUAAAAAUCGUGCAUUCGGUUUUACUUUUGUCUAAUUGCAUAAAGUAUGUUUAGUACUUCAAAUCUGUUUCAUGAGUGAUUCUAGAAAGAUGAUAUUAAUUUUGCAGAUAGUAAAGGAACACACCAGUUUUGACCUGCUACUAUUAGUGAACCUUUCUUGUUUCUAAAUCAAAGGUCUACUUGAUGUCUUGAUAGUAGCUUUUGAUAAUAUUAACUAUAUGACACUUUUGAUGCUCUCAGGCCAAGUUCGAAAGAAGAACUGGAUAACCCUAACCUGCCUAAUAUUGGGCAUCAUUACCCGAAUUAGUUGGAUAAUCCAGACACAGUGGAGAAUGACCACACUGUAUAUAAAAGUGCUUUCAUCAUGUUUUCUUCUAAACGAGCCCUUUUCCCCUUUUAAUACUACCCUUGUUUCCUUGGUAUCCACUAUCAGAUUAGACUCCUGAUUUUUCAACAGUGCGCUUUCUUCUUUUUUUUUUUCCUUUCCUCUUCCCACUUCCUUGUUCCAAAUCAACUGCAAUAGUUCUCUGUUUGUUUCUCUAAUCAAGAGUCCACUCCAGCAACCCUUUAGGAGUUCAUACUAACUUUUGCUCUUAACUCGUAUUGCUAGAGGGAGGAUGUGAUAAAAAAAAGCUUGUGCCAACCAAAUAAUCAAGAUAAUGUAGUUUAGAAACUAGUAGUUCUCCAUUCCAAUGCUGCUGAGUGCUGACAAACUUGACUAGCAUCCUCAUCUGAAACCGAACUCAUACACACACCAUUUCGCCAUCAUAAUCAAGUAAUCAUGGAAUUCUAAAGACCUAGCAAACACAAUAUAGAGAGCUUUUGGGAUUCUCAGUUUCUCACUACUAAGAAACAUGACAUUUGGUAAUCAAACAAAAUAAAAGUUAACAACAUAAACACUAAAAAGCAGCAGCAUAGUGCAACAUGAACCACUUAAUACAUACAUUUCCAGCUCCACUAUCUCUCUACUUCUCUAGCCGUGCGGCGAAAGCACGUCGGCGACCUAUACAAGUAUACAACCCCAUCCCUACAUUAGUCUUCUCAUCAAGUUAAAGCCCCAAUAGCUCCAUCCACCCAACAUUGCUAAAGCCAUAAAGCUCAUAUCUUUUCUAGCAAGAGAGAAACUUGACAACACUUUCUCUACUACUCUAAUACCUCGUUUGGUUUGCGGAAAGCAAAGUACGUACGUAGUUCAUUCCUCUCUCCUAUGAGAAGAGAAAGUGAAUGGGAAUGAAAUUUGAAGAGAAGUUUUCAUUUCGAUGUUUGGUAACCCAAGAAAAGUCAUUGAGAAAGUUCUUAAAAAAAUAUAAUAAAAUAUUAUGAUGUGAGUAAUAAAUGCAAGAAAAAAAAAAAAAAGUGGUUCCAUUGGAUUUUGGAAGGAGUCACUUCCCCCCAUAUUUUCCUUUCAAUCAGGAAAGUCUUUCUUUUCUUUUGGCUUUGCCACACAGGAAAAAAAACAAUUUUUCUAUCAUGCUGGUUGCCUACUUUCUGCGAAAUAAAUAAGGAGCAUCUCCAGCAGUAUUGCUAAAUCAAUUUUUUUUUUGAAAUUUAUCAACUUUUCGGAUGAAUAGGAGCUCCAACAGUAUACUUAAAUGGUUGUUAAAUUUAAGGAUUGCUAAACGAAAUUGAUAAAUUUGUCAAUUGAGCCAUGAAUUGCUAAAGGAAUAUAUAUAUUUUCCCUCUUUUUUUUUCUCCACGUGUCAGUUUAUAAUUCGUUAAAAAUAUUAUUUAACUUACAUAUAGCAAUAACUGCUGUAACCAAAUUCUUAUAUUAAUAGCUAAAUUUCAUAAUUAUUGUUAAAUUUAACUAUUGUUUUAGUUACACCGCUGGAGAUGCUCUAAGCCUAUGCAGUAAAAGCUUCGAUUAAUGUUUCUUAUUUUCAAUUUACCUGUGUAUAAAAUAUAUAUAAAAAUAAUAAUUAAAGACUGAGUCGAACGAGUCACGAACCUGGUUAAAAAAUCCGAGUCGUUUAAUUAAGCCGCACACGAAAAAAUCAGAGAAGCAAAAAAAUGGAGGAAGAGAGGAGGAGGCAGCCCUGGCCUCACUACUGGGGCACCACACCG
This 4053-nucleotide long non-coding RNA is filed under the name Fragaria vesca (wild strawberry). RNAcentral describes it as "long non-coding RNA (FVES_LNC001137)". The record is from RNAcentral. Lineage: Eukaryota; Viridiplantae; Streptophyta; Magnoliopsida; Rosales; Rosaceae.